RNAcentral lists this ribosomal RNA (497 nucleotides) under uncultured bacterium. RNAcentral describes it as "partial 16S ribosomal RNA". It matches the Rfam family "Bacterial small subunit ribosomal RNA", at positions 28 to 507 of the family's 1533-position model. The record is from RNAcentral.
GAUGAACGCUGGCGGCGUGCCUAAUACAUGCAAGUCGAGCGAACAGACGAGGAGCUUGCUCCUCUGACGUUAGCGGCGGACGGGUGAGUAACACGUGGAUAACCUACCUAUAAGACUGGGAUAACUUCGGGAAACCGGAGCUAAUACCGGAUAAUAUAUUGAACCGCAUGGUUCAAUAGUGAAAGACGGUUUUGCUGUCACUUAUAGAUGGAUCAGCGCCGCAUUAGUUAGUUGGUAAGGUAACGGCUUACCAAGGCGACGAUGCGUACCCGACCUGAGAGGGAGGUCGGCCACACUGGAACUGAGACACGGUCCAGACUCCUGCGGGAGGCAACAGUAGGGAAUCUUCCGCAAUGGGCGAAAGCCUGACGGAGCAACGCCGCGUGAGUGAUGAAGGUCUUCGGAUCGUAAAACUCUGUUAUUAGGGAGGAACAAAUGUGUAAGUAACUAUGCACAUCUUGACGGUACCUAGUCAGAAAGCCACGGCUAACUACGUG